This 460-nucleotide ribosomal RNA is filed under the name uncultured bacterium. RNAcentral describes it as "partial 16S ribosomal RNA". It matches the Rfam family "Bacterial small subunit ribosomal RNA", at positions 338 to 795 of the family's 1533-position model. The record is from RNAcentral.
CCUACGGGUGGCAGCAGUGAGGAAUAUUGGUCAAUGGACGAGAGUCUGAACCAGCCAAGUAGCGUGAAGGAUGACUGCCCUAUGGGUUGUAAACUUCUUUUAUAUAGGAAUAAAAUGUUCCACGUGUGGGAUUUUGUAUGUACCAUAUGAAUAAGGAUCGGCUACCUCCGUGCCAGCAGCCGCGGUAAUACGGAGGAUCCGAGCGGUAUCCGGAUUUAUUUGGUGUAAAGGGAGCGUAGGUGGAUUGUUAAGUCAGUUGUGAAAGUUUGCGGCUCAAACGUAAAAUUGCAGUUGAAACUGGCAGUGUUGAGUACAGGAGAGGUGGGCGGAAUUCGUGGUGUAGCGGUGAAAUGCGUAGAUAUCACGAAGAACUCCGAUUGCGAAGGCAGCUCACUGGACUGCAACUGACACUGAGGCUCGAAAGUGUGGGUAUCAAACAGGAUUAGAUACCCUGGUAGUC